This 410-nucleotide ribosomal RNA is filed under the name uncultured bacterium. Its description in RNAcentral is "bacterial SSU rRNA". It matches the Rfam family "Bacterial small subunit ribosomal RNA", at positions 354 to 777 of the family's 1533-position model. The record is from RNAcentral.
GUGGGGAAUAUUGGGCAAUGGGCGCAAGCCUGACCCAGCAACGCCGCGUGAGGGAAGAAGGUUUUCGGAUUGUAAACCUCUGUCGCAGGGGACGAAGGAAGUGACGGUACCCUGUAAGAAAGCCCCGGCUAACUACGUGCCAGCAGCCGCGGUAAUACGUAGGGGGCGAGCGUUGUCCGGAAUUACUGGGCGUAAAGGGAGCGUAGGCGGUCGAUUAAGUUAGAUGUGAAACCCCCGGGCUUAACUUGGGGACUGCAUCUAAUACUGGUUGACUUAGAGUACAGGAGAGGGAAGCGGAAUUCCUAGUGUAGCGGUGAAAUGCGUAGAUAUUAGGAGGAACACCAGUGGCGAAGGCGGCUUUCUGGACUGACACUGACGCUGAGGCUCGAAAGCGUGGGGAGCAAACAGGA